RNAcentral lists this ribosomal RNA (393 nucleotides) under uncultured bacterium. Its description in RNAcentral is "partial 16S ribosomal RNA". It matches the Rfam family "Bacterial small subunit ribosomal RNA", at positions 523 to 918 of the family's 1533-position model. The record is from RNAcentral.
AUACGGAAGGUCCGGGCGUUAUCCGGAUUUAUUGGGUUUAAAGGGAGCGCAGGCGGAGAUGCAAGCGUGACGUCAAAUUUCGGGGCUCAACCCCGUCUCGCGUCGCGAACUGCGUCCCUUGGUUGCGGGAAGGGGAGGCGGAACUCGUGGGGUAGCGGUGAAAUGCAUAGAUAUCACGAAGAACCCCGAUCGCGAAGGCAGCCUUCCGGCCCGUCAACGACGCUCAUGCUCGAAGGUGCGGGUAUCAAACAGGAUUAGAUACCCUGGUAGUCCGCACAGUAAACGAUGGACACCCGCGGUUUGGCCUGUAUGGCUGAGCCGCCAAGCGAAAGCGUUAAGUGUCCCACCUGGGGAGUACGCCGGCAACGGUGAAACUCAAAGGAAUUGACGGGG